Molecule: ribosomal RNA, 465 nt
Filed under: uncultured bacterium
Lineage: Bacteria
Description: partial 16S ribosomal RNA
Rfam family: Bacterial small subunit ribosomal RNA
Source: RNAcentral
GACGAACGCUGGCGGCGUGCUUAACACAUGCAAGUCGAACGGAAAGGCCCCUUUUUGGGUCCUCGCGUGGCGAACGGGUGAGUAACACGUGAGUAACCUGCCCUUGACUUCGGGAUAACUUCAGGCAACUGGGGCUAAUACCGGAUAGGAAUCCUUUCUUCAUGGUGGGGGUUGGAAAGCUUCGGCGGUUUUGGAUGGACUCGCUGCUUAUCAGCUUGUUGGUGGGGUAGUGGCUUACCAAGGCUUUGACGGGUAGCCGGCCUGAGAGGGCGACCGGCCAAAAUGGGAAUGGGAUAAGGCCCAGAAUCCUACGGGAGGCAGCAGUGGGGAAUAUUGCACAAUGGGCGGAAGCCUGAUGCAGCAACGCCGCGGGCGGGAUGACGGCCUUCGGGUUGUAAACCGCUUUCAGCAGGGGAGAAGCUUGUGGUGACGGUACCUGCAGAAGAAGCACCGGCUAACUACGUG